UGAGUAAUUUCUUGAUUUUGCAAUACCGCCUAGGGAUAGGGGUAGGACGAUCAAUUGCUUUUAACUUCUGCUCUAUAAUGCUGUAUUAAUUGCUAGGGGAGGCUAGCGAUAGCAAGCCAGUAAUUAAUAUUAGGCUCUUUUCGCCGAGGGACCGGGUUAAGGUUAGGCUAAGAAAGUUGCAUGACAAUUAAUUAAUCAAACUAAUAUUCAAGAGGAGUAGAUAAGAGAGAGCGGAUUAAAUGAAAUUGUAAACCCCCAAC
This 260-nucleotide long non-coding RNA is filed under the name Vigna radiata. Its description in RNAcentral is "long non-coding RNA (VRAD_LNC013832)". Lineage: Eukaryota; Viridiplantae; Streptophyta; Magnoliopsida; Fabales; Fabaceae. The record is from RNAcentral.